UAAGGGGGGAUUUCAUCAGAAUGAAGCUAAAAGCAAUUACACAAUUCAACUAAAACUAAAUAAUUAACUAGCACGAAUAUAGCAAGAAUUAAAUCAAGAAUAAAUAAAUCCUAGCCAAGGAUGCAACUAUUCAGGCACAGUCCAUUUAUCCGAUCAUUGACGCAAGAGAGGUUCACUUAAUUUAUUAAUAGACUAGUUAUAGCCAUCGAGGAGCUCUAAUGACCAAUUUUUCCCUAAUUUAUAGAUGACCAAGGUACGACCAUUAAUCACCCCUAACCAGAAAAGUAUUCCUAGGUACGACCGUAGGAAUUAAUUUUCCAAUUGCAUUAAUAGCCAGAAAAACCUAGCCCUAAUCAAUAACACGCUACGAGGGUUAUUUAAAUUAGAUUGCACAUUCCCCUAAUGUGUAAACACACCAGUUGCCACUAAUAUUAAUCAAUCAAACAAUUACGGAUUUAACUGACUAAAUUGGCACGAGAUUAAUAAAUCACCUUGAAUAUCGGGCCCUUGAGAUCCAAGUAAUAAAAUAAUCCCAUGAAAAUACAAGCAGGCAACGUGCAAAUAUUAAUAAAUUAAGGAACGCGUGAAAACUAAUUAGAUCUCACAGAUUUUCGGGACUGCGCCGUCGAGUUGACCCUUGACUAGAUGGAAGACUUAGCCACGCCGCAUAAUUAAAUCACCACACGAGUUAAUAAAUUGCGAAGGCAUUGCUUUUUACUAGAAAGUAAGGAAUAAAGAAUGUUUUUCCCGUUGGGGAAUAUUGUCAAACACCUGACGUGCGUCAGAGGCUAGUCCCAGGAAAAGAAAGAAAAAACUAAAGCUAAACUAAAAGCUAAAACUAAAAAGGUAAACUGAAAGCUCCCCGUCUCCUGUACGCUUGUUCCCUAUUUAAAGCCAAAAGAAAGAUAUCCAGUGAUCCCCACCAAUUGGCCACAAGCUGCCGAAUUCAUCUCCUUGUUUUGAGCCCCUGUGCGGUCCCACCAAUUAGCCACAAGCCUCCCAAUUACUUCUUAGUUCUCUGGCUCUCUACGUUGCUCUUAAGAGCCAAAUGACUAAAGCCCUUGUCCUUUCCUCCGUGGUCCCUGCUGAAGUCAAAGGCCCAAGCCUUGAAGUUCUCUCUGCCGCAGUCCCUGAUUGUAGUCUUCUUAGUCAACAAAAGUAAAGGAACGGAACUCCAGUUCUUUUCGGCACUGUAGCUUGCUUGAAGUCUCAAUUAUCUUCAGAAAGACCCUCAUGUUUGGUAGUUGUCUGUUCCAUUCCUGAAAUUGAUUCCAAAUACCAAAUAUGAGUAAAUAUCAGCAAUUAACACAAUAAAUGUCGGGGUAGAAGGGAAAAUUAAUAAUAAAAUUACUAACAAAUUAUACCCUAUCAGCUAUCAAGGAAAAAGAUUUGAAGCCAAGAUGUGUAAGAUCUAUGUCACAUUGCUGCUUCGUGGAACAACAUUGAUGCACAAGGACUAGUUCGCAUGAAAGCAAUUUUGCAAAUAAAAUACCAUGUAAAAUGUCAGUUUGAUGAACUUAGGUUGACCUUAUAUGUUUCCCCAUUUAAUUCUCGUAAAAUUGAUUUCCAUAAUUUUAUCUUUACAGCGUUCCCAUCCACCAACUGGGAUCCUUUUUUGAAUACAAAAUUGUGCCUUAGCAAUUCAGUUUUCUAAAUUGCUCUCUGAUUAACAUAAAGUAGAAGGGCUCAUGCUCACUGAUUCUUGUGCUCUAGUCCUGUCUUGAGCUUUACAGAUACAACGAGCAAUGGAAAUGUAUCAUUGGCACAACCGCAGAACACUUGAGAAAAAAUAUGUUGCCUGUUACAGAGCUAAGAUACAACUUCAAGAAGGAUGCAAGCACCUAUCAGGGUUCAGCUAAUCCACAUCCUUCUGCUACAAAAUACUAGCUACUUUGAACUACAAGCAGUACGGAAGAUAUGGCAAAUUGAGUUCCAAAAGAAGUAAAAUAGCACCUCAUUUAACAUAUCUACAAAUUGCUGAAUCGGUUGGACAGUUUAACAACACCAGACAGACAAGGAAGAUCUUAGGCUUUGGCCAUCCGAGGCAGGGAGCAAAAGGGAUUUCCAUCCUGGAUGUUUUCAUUUGAUCUUGACUGAAACAGGAUCUGGUUCAGCAAGGGAUCAUAUUAAAAGUACCAAGGAUAGUAAGUAAGAGCUAUCAGGGUUAAUGUUGAUCUUUGAGUGCAAAAUCACAGCAAAACACAAAAACUCAAACUUAAGAAACUCAAGACAGCAUGUAGUCAAGAAUAAAGCCAGCACUUAGUUGCAUGACAUUUUUUGUUGUAUUUGAAACACUAAAAUAAGAACUUACCAUGAAGAGAGGAGCAACCAACAAGUAUAGGUGGCAGAAUGAGCUUAAUAGCCUUCAUCACAGCGGAUGAAAUAAUUGCAGCAAGUAGCAGCAGUCUCGACUAACCACAGCGAUAUGCUUCAAAACUUGCAGCUUAGACUUGAUUGUGUUAGAAGAUACUCUUAACAAUUCUGUGCAGCUUUACUGCAUGAACAGUACAUC
This 2512-nucleotide long non-coding RNA is filed under the name Coffea arabica (coffee). RNAcentral's name for it is "long non-coding RNA (CARA_LNC000478)". The record is from RNAcentral. Lineage: Eukaryota; Viridiplantae; Streptophyta; Magnoliopsida; Gentianales; Rubiaceae.